RNAcentral lists this unclassified non-coding RNA (420 nucleotides) under soil metagenome. RNAcentral's name for it is "partial contains 5.8S ribosomal RNA, internal transcribed spacer 2, and large subunit ribosomal RNA". The stretch from base 1 to 120 matches the Rfam family "5.8S ribosomal RNA", at positions 35 to 154 of the family's 154-position model. The record is from RNAcentral.
GAUGAAGAACGCAGUGAAAUGCGAUACGUAAUGUGAAUUGCAGAAUUCAGUGAAUCAUCGAAUCUUUGAACGCAUAUUGCGCUCUUUGGUAUUCCGAAGAGCAUGCUUGUUUGAGUAUCAGUAAACACCUCAACCUCUUCUUGAUUUUUCAAAAGGAGGGUGGACUUGAGCUAUCCCAACAACCUUUACCGGUCGGCGGGCGGCUUGAAAUGCAGGUGCAGCUGGACUUUUAUCUGAGCUAAAAGCAUAUCUAUUUAGUCCUCGUCAAACAGGAUUAUUACUUUUGCUGCAGCUAACAUAAAGGAUAAUUGUCCUCUUUGCUGACUGAUGCAGGAUUUUACGACACUUUAUGUGUUGUUCAACUCGAUCUCAAAUCAAGUAAGACUACCCGCUGAACUUAAGCAUAUCAAAAGCGGAGGA